This 216-nucleotide ribosomal RNA is filed under the name Glomeromycotina sp. RNAcentral's name for it is "partial small subunit ribosomal RNA". The stretch from base 44 to 216 matches the Rfam family "Eukaryotic small subunit ribosomal RNA", at positions 690 to 864 of the family's 1831-position model. The record is from RNAcentral. Lineage: Eukaryota; Fungi; Glomeromycota.
GGGUCAGUAGGUUGGUCGUGCCACCGGUACGUACUGGUCUCACUGAUUCCUCCUUCCUGAAGAACCGUAAUGCCAUUAAUUUGGUGUUGCGGGGAAACAGGACUGUUACUUUGAAAAAAUUAGAGUGUUUAAAGCAAGCUAACGCUUGAACACAUUAGCAUGGAAUAAUGAAAUAGGACGAUCGACCCUAUUUUGUUGGUUUCUAGGAUUGACGUA